This 477-nucleotide ribosomal RNA is filed under the name uncultured bacterium. RNAcentral's name for it is "partial 16S ribosomal RNA". It matches the Rfam family "Bacterial small subunit ribosomal RNA", at positions 30 to 507 of the family's 1533-position model. The record is from RNAcentral.
AUUGGACGCUGGCGGCAUGCCUUACACAUGCAAGUCGAACGGUAACAGGUUAAGCUGACGAGUGGCGAACGGGUGAGUAAUGUAUCGGAACGUGCCCAGUCGUGGGGGAUAACUGCUCGAAAGAGCAGCUAAUACCGCAUACGACCUGAGGGUGAAAGCGGGGGAUCGCAAGACCUCGCGCGAUUGGAGCGGCCGAUAUCAGAUUAGGUAGUUGGUGAGGUAAAGGCUCACCAAGCCGACGAUCUGUAGCUGGUCUGAGAGGACGACCAGCCACACUGGGACUGAGACACGGCCCAGACUCCUACGGGAGGCAGCAGUGGGGAAUUUUGGACAAUGGGCGCAAGCCUGAUCCAGCCAUGCCGCGUGCGGGAAGAAGGCCUUCGGGUUGUAAACCGCUUUUGUCAGGGAAGAAAAGGUUCUGGCUAAUACCUGGGACUCAUGACGGUACCUGAAGAAUAAGCACCGGCUAACUACGUG